Molecule: unclassified non-coding RNA, 329 nt
Filed under: soil metagenome
Description: partial contains 5.8S ribosomal RNA, internal transcribed spacer 2, and large subunit ribosomal RNA
Rfam family: 5.8S ribosomal RNA (bases 1-120)
Source: RNAcentral
GAUGAAGAACGCAGCGAAAUGCGAUAAGUAAUGUGAAUUGCAGAACUCAGUGAAUCAUCGAAUCUUUGAACGCACAUUGCGCCCCUUGGUAUCCCGAGGGGCAUGCCUGUUCGAGCGUCAUUUCACCACUCAAGCCUGGCUUGGUGUUGGGCGACGUCCCCUUUGGGGACGCGCCUCGAAACGCUCGGCGGCGUGGCACCGGCUUUAAGCGUAGCAGAAUCUUUCGCUUUGGAAGUCGGGGCCCCGUCUGCCGGAAGACCUACUCGCAAGGUUGUCCUCGGAUCAGGCAGGGAUACCCGCUGAACUUAAGCAUAUCAAUAAGCGGAGGA